Long non-coding RNA from Patella vulgata (common limpet), 847 nucleotides. RefSeq lists it as uncharacterized. Lineage: Eukaryota; Metazoa; Mollusca; Gastropoda; Patellidae. The record is from RefSeq and is a predicted model, not a curated record. The transcript is spliced from 3 exons.
UUGGAUCUCAACACAAGUACUUGUGUGAAAAUUAUUCUACACAAGUUAUGUGUUGUUUUGCAUUGCAUUAACACAAACUUGUGUUCUUUUUAAUGCAUUAACACAAAUCUUGUGUUUUUUCCAUAUAAUUAACACAAGUAAUGUGUACCGUCAACAAAUAUUUUUUUUUUUAAAUUUGAACUCCAUACAAAGUCUUAAUCCGGGGGUCCACAAGUAAGAGAAAGGUAUUUUUUACUCAGACAAUAUAGCCAGACAGACUUGAAUGCUAAUUGGUGUUAAGAUGUCUGUAGUUAAAAUAAAGUUGGGCCCAAUAAACUGGUAGAUCAAAGGCCUGUUGAGCGCUCAUGCCCGGUGUGAUUUUAACAAUUGACUCCAAAUGCGUUGACAAGAAAAUAAGUAAAACUGUUAUUGACUGUGAUUGGUUGAUAAAAUCAACGUACUAUAGACUACAUUUUGUCUGCGAUAUCAUCUCGGUGGAAGCGGACAUUAAAUGAAGUGAUUUCACACAAUUAAUUUAACAUUUAACAACGUGCUGAAAUGAUUUUGGAGCAGUGAUAUGUUUGACAAAUGUAAGCUAAUGGUCACAUAGAAUACAAGACCGCAGAAUCACAUUAUGAUUAAAGCAGAAACGGUUCGACUUGAACCAGCAGACGGAAGAUAUGGACGAACAACAAGAAGAAGUUAUGGAGGUCCCAACAACUGAACCUAUGGAAGUAGAAGAAUCGUUUACAGCCGAAACCCGAUACGAUGUGCCAGUUCCGGUUAUGGAGUCCUCCAUCUCAGACGAUGCCGACGUUAGUGUCUUCUGCGACGAAGAACCCGUAGUGGUGUAUCACUAUAAACCUCA